RNAcentral lists this unclassified non-coding RNA (271 nucleotides) under Hevea brasiliensis (rubber tree). The record is from RNAcentral. Lineage: Eukaryota; Viridiplantae; Streptophyta; Magnoliopsida; Malpighiales; Euphorbiaceae.
GCCCCAAACUGGGGACUAAGCAAAUCUAUUUACUAGGAAUGCAGAAAUUUGAAGCCAUGACUCCAGACAAGUGCAUGAUUCUUGAUUCCUGAUGCAUGAUGGACGUGAUAUUGAAUCGGAUGAGCUGGCUGGAGUCAUGGCUUCAAANAUCCCAUACAAAGAGACUAGCAGGAGCCCCGAAUUGCAGAAUAAGCAAAUCUAUUUGCCAGNGUCUUUUUUGUCUAUUGGAGUGACAUCCAUGAUCCAUUCCAGCUGCAAACUUUCCAAGAAG